This is a small nucleolar RNA of Drosophila busckii, 85 nucleotides long. It matches the Rfam family "Small nucleolar RNA Me28S-U3344". Rfam says of the family: Me28S-Um3344 is a member of the C/D class of snoRNA which contain the C (UGAUGA) and D (CUGA) box motifs. This family directs 2'-O-methylation of 28S U-3344. NCBI's taxonomy places the organism in Eukaryota, Metazoa, Arthropoda, Insecta, Diptera, Drosophilidae. The record is from Rfam.
CUAAUUAACAUGAUGAAUUCUGUAAUAUUCUUGAUAGGAAGAGUAUGAAACAUAAUGAGUACUAAAACAACAAACUGAUAAUUAG